This 252-nucleotide ribosomal RNA is filed under the name uncultured bacterium. RNAcentral's name for it is "partial 16S ribosomal RNA". It matches the Rfam family "Bacterial small subunit ribosomal RNA", at positions 524 to 776 of the family's 1533-position model. The record is from RNAcentral.
UACGGGAAGGGCAAGCGUUAUCCGUAGUUACUUGGCGUAAAGAGUCUGUAGACUGUUUAGUAAGUUGAUUAUUAAAUUUUAAAUUUGAUAUUAAAAUAAUUAUCAAUACUACUUAACUUUGAGUUUUAUGCGUAAGAAUAGAAUUUUAUACGGAGGGAUAAAAUCUAAAGAUGUAUAAAGGAAUGCCAGUAGUGAAGACAAUUCUUUAGCAAAAACUGACGUUGAGAGACGAAAGUGUGGGGAGCAAACAGG